CCCGGCACAAGCGGUGGAGCAUGUGGUUUAAUUCGAUGAUACGCGAGGAACCUUACCUGGGCUCAAAUGUAUGUUGACGUAUUCUGAAAGGGAUACUUCUUCGGACAAUAUACAAGGUGCUGCAUGGUUGUCGUCAGCUCGUGCCGUGAGGUGUCGGGUUAAGUCCCAUAACGAGCGCAACCCCUAUCAUUAGUUGCCAUCAGGUCAAGCUGGGGACUCUAAUGAAACUGCCUACGCAAGUAGUGAGGAAGGUGGGGAUGACGUCAAAUCAGCACGGCCCUUACGUCCAGGGCUACACACGUGCUACAAUGGCCGGUACAAAGGGCAGCUACCUGGUGACAGGAUGCUAAUCUCAAAAGCCGGUCUCAGUUCGGAUCGGAGUCUGCAACUCGACUCCAUGAAGUUGGAAUCGCUAGUAAUCGUGGAUCAGCAUGCCACGGUGAAUACGUUCCCGGGCCUU
Molecule: ribosomal RNA, 460 nt
Filed under: uncultured Sphingobacteriales bacterium
Lineage: Bacteria; Pseudomonadati; Bacteroidota; Sphingobacteriia; Sphingobacteriales
Description: bacterial SSU rRNA
Rfam family: Bacterial small subunit ribosomal RNA
Source: RNAcentral